Molecule: ribosomal RNA, 468 nt
Filed under: uncultured bacterium
Lineage: Bacteria
Description: partial 16S ribosomal RNA
Rfam family: Bacterial small subunit ribosomal RNA
Source: RNAcentral
GACGAACGCUGGCGGCGUGCUUAACACAUGCAAGUCGAACGGAAAGGCCCUGCUUUUGUGGGGUGCUCGAGUGGCGAACGGGUGAGUAACACGUGAGUAACCUUCCCUUGACUUUGGGAUAACUUCAGGAAACUGGGGCUACUACCGGAUAGGAGCUCCUGCUGCAUGGUGGGGGUUGGAAAGUUUCGGCGGUUGGGGAUGGACUCGCGGCUUAUCAGCUUGUUGGUGGGGUAGUGGCUUACCAAGGCUUUGACGGGUAGCCGGCCUGAGAGGGUGACCGGCCACAUUGGGACUGAGAUACGGCCCAGACUCCUACGGGAGGCAGCAGUGGGGAAUAUUGCACAAUGGGCGGAAGCCUGAUGCAGCAACGCCGCGUGCGGGAUGACGGCCUUCGGGUUGUAAACCGCUUUCGCCUGUGACGAAGCGUGAGUGACGGUAAUGGGUAAAGAAGCACCGGCUAACUACGUG